This is a long non-coding RNA of Electrophorus electricus (electric eel), 1275 nucleotides long. RefSeq lists it as uncharacterized. The record is from RefSeq and is a predicted model, not a curated record. Lineage: Eukaryota; Metazoa; Chordata; Actinopteri; Gymnotiformes; Gymnotidae.
UCAGUGAACCAGCCAUAUCACUCUGGGUAUGUACUGGAGCCCAGGUCUAUCACCCCCUACCUGCGAAUACCAGGCCUCUCACUUUGAAAACACAUGGCUGUAACUUCACUAUUGCUGAGGCUGCAUUAAAAAACUGGACCAGGUACCCUACACAGGCAAGCUACAUCACCUCAGCCCAGCAGAACAAAGCCCUGGACAGACCUUGGCUGGCUGAUAAUUGGUACUCCCUCUUACCUGUAUUUCUGCCCUGUGGGGACCUUAGUUGUCAUAGUUGUGGGGCUGGCAGUAAGUUUGCUUUCAGGGGGUAGACCUCUAAAACUGCAACCAGGGCUGACAGUAGUGAAGGAGGAUUUAACCUGCUACAAACUUUACAAAACUCUAAAGCAGAAGAUACCAACAUGAAAGGUGGUUCAUUUGGUAAGAACUGCUCCUUCCUGGCCCCACAGAAUGCCGUGGAAGGCCAUUAUCGCUUUCCUAACAUUGUUGGAGGUCUACAAAAAAAGGAGAAAACCCAGCAUAUGGCAACAACGACGCCGGCAACCAAAUUCCCCAAGAUUCAAAAGACCUCUAACAAGCUGCCCAAGUUGUACUCAAGUCAUAAUUAUACCAACAUGAAAGGUGGUUCAUUUGGUAAGAACUGCUCCUUCCUGGCCCCACAGAAUGCCGUGGAAGGUCAUUGUCGCUUUCCUAAGAUUGUUGGAGGUCUACAAAAAAAGGAGAAAACCCAGCAUAUGGCAACAACGACGCCAGCAACCAAAUUCCCCAAGAUCCAAAAGACCUCUAACAAGCUGUCAGUGAUUAUACUGAACGAUAUGUUUUUGGCAAACCAGGGCAUGGCUGAGAGUUCGGUGAAGGACCCAGAUGUUAAGCCUUAUGUCAGAUAUGGAGAAACCUCUUCAAGGAAACAAUCAAGUCACUUUCUGCCAGUGAUAAGACGUCACCAUGAAGAGAUAGCUGCACACAGUGGCCGACCUGCAGCCCAGAGAUCACGUGGGGUCCCCAACACUUCACUUCAGCCACAUGUGAUUGCCAUACCCUGUGAUGACCAGUUCAGCAACAGACUAAAGCAUCCCAGAACUGGCAAAAGCCAUCGCAAUUACUUUUAACAGGCCAGGCGGAGUAGGCCAUGAAUAAGAUUCAACUAAAGACAUCCCACUAGAGUAAAUGACACUUAUUUUAUGGCCUGAAGAUGGACUGAUUUCAGCAGAUGGACUGAUUAACUACUGAUUAUCAAAAAUAGUCAGGAAUGCCCCAGCUUGGCACAGAAGUGACAAU